This is an RNA transcript of Diceros bicornis minor, 1208 nucleotides long. It is a transcript of the gene named zinc finger protein 789-like, with no coding region annotated. The transcript has 5 exons. Lineage: Eukaryota; Metazoa; Chordata; Mammalia; Perissodactyla; Rhinocerotidae. The record is from RefSeq and is a predicted model, not a curated record.
GGGAGUUUACUGAUCACGAAGAAUGUUUAGUACGAGGCACACUGAGGGACGUUGAUAAUUACUUGCAGACUUGAAGGAAGGGUACCGGUUAGCCAGAAGAAAGGAGGUUGAAUAGAGCAGUGGGUGGCAUCUUUGAAGCGGAAGUCGGCACCUAACUCCCACUUCCUGUUUUUCUCUGCACCCAGCGCACCAACCUGGGAAUCUCUGGAGCCGCAAGCCAGGUGUGCCCCUCCUCCUCCUUCCCUCUAUGUCUUAGGAGGACCCAGGGCCCCUGUAUCUCAGCAGCCCCUUGCACAGGAGUCCUCUCCCUUCUUCCAUCGUCCUACCUUUUCCUAGGCGACACUGACUGGGAAGAGUUAAGGCCAGUGAGAGCACACAUCCUAGAGAGGCAGAGAGGCUGACAGCCGACCUGACGCACACGCACUCCGGCUUCCUGGACUGAGUUGGAGGCUCUGUCUCUAUUCGGUAUCCACUCCUGCAUCCUACAUUCCUUUCCCGGCCCCUAUGCGAGAUCCCCAUUCGCUGUGCUCUCCUGUCGCACCCUGGGGCACUGAUCUGUGAAUCCCCGAGAGCUCGGGAGGAGGCAGGAGGCAGGGGGACCGGGCUGCCACGGGCAGAGUCUCAUGGCGGGAACCGGCCCGUGCAGGCUGGGGAAGUGAGAUCUGCCAGGCCAUCUGCUCCCCAGCUCGGGAAACGGCUGGCCCAGGGAGCACAGACACGCUUUCCCUGUGAGCCGGCUAACCACGGCAUCCAUGCACUCUGCAACUGGGGUUCAGAGGCUGCUGACAUUUGAGGAGGUGGCCGUGAGUUUCUCCCAGGAAGAGUGGGGGUGUCUGGACUUUGCGCAAAGGGCCCUCUACAGGGGUGUUAUGUGGGAGAACUACAGACAUCUGACUUCUGUGGAGUGGCGUGGUACAGAGACUACAGGGCAGAAUAGCUGUGGAUAGUUUAGUAAGAAAUUUUUGAUCUUCUAAUUGAUCCACUAGGAUUCCUGUUUCCUAAACCUGAGCUAAUCUCACAGCAGGAGCAAGAUGAGGAGCCAUGGAUUCUUGAUGCCCCAAGAAGGCUUAUUCCAGGCUUUCCUGCAGGUGACAUGCCUGAAACCCCUACCCUGCCGAGGGAGGGCUGUGAGGCCGGCGACCUCUGGGGACUCCUUUCCCCAGCCUAGCCCAGUGGGGACGACGUCUCUGGGGAGCCUUCUGAUAAGG